AAGAAAAUAAAGAUGACUGUAGA
This 23-nucleotide non-coding RNA is filed under the name Cricetulus griseus (Chinese hamster). Lineage: Eukaryota; Metazoa; Chordata; Mammalia; Rodentia; Cricetidae. The record is from RNAcentral.